Gracilinanus agilis (Agile Gracile Mouse Opossum) is the source of this 609-nucleotide long non-coding RNA. RefSeq lists it as uncharacterized. The transcript has 3 exons. Lineage: Eukaryota; Metazoa; Chordata; Mammalia; Didelphimorphia; Didelphidae. The record is from RefSeq and is a predicted model, not a curated record.
GUUCUUUGACAGGCUCUGAAUUCUUGAAGAAAAAGAUUCCAUAGCUAAAUUGUCUGGGAAGCACAUCCCUUAAUAGCUCCCUACCUCAGUUUCCUUAAUGGCCAAAUGAGCAAGAAGCACAGGGAAGGAUGCUGGAGGUUACUGGGAAGCAUGCUACAUCUUCUCGGAGCCACAGACUUGAUGACUGUGGAAGAGAGAGUGACAUUGUGCAGCUCUGCCUCUCUUCAAUCCAAAAACAUCACCCAUGAUGUCAUGCUGGUCCACUUUGAGUACAAAGAACAACAACCAACCAACCAAGUUCCCCGGCUUUGGAUCCAUAAAACCCAAUAAAUGAAGAAACUAAGGCCUGUGGAGUGAAAGUUGAUGGGCCUAAAAUUAACCUCCGGCCCCAAAUGUUUCCCAGCACAUAACUAUCUUCCUUAUCACCCCCCUUGAUGGAUGUUUGCCAGAUGCUUCCUGACCCCCUGACCCUAACAUCCCCCUUGAUGACAUAUGUUCCCAGACCCCCUUCUCCAGAAACCCUAUAAAAAACCUUGGCUAAGAAAACCAAAGGGUCAGUCAGGCAAACCUCUCUGCCGACUGAUCCUAGCAUCAUUGCUAGUCAAUAAA